AUUGAACGCUGGCGGCAGGCCUAACACAUGCAAGUCGAACGGUAACAGGAAGCAGCUUGCUGCUUUGCUGACGAGUGGCGGACGGGUGAGUAAUGUCUGGGAAACUGCCUGAUGGAGGGGGAUAACUACUGGAAACGGUAGCUAAUACCGCAUAACGUCGCAAGACCAAAGAGGGGGACCUUAGGGCCUCUUGCCAUCGGAUGUGCCCAGAUGGGAUUAGCUAGUAGGUGGGGUAACGUCUCACCUAGGCGACGAUCCCUAGCUGGUCUGAGAGGAUGACCAGCCACACUGGAACUGAGACACGGUCCAGACUCCUACGGGAGGCAGCAGUGGGGAAUAUUGCACAAUGGGCGCAAGCCUGAUGCAGCCAUGCCGCGUGUAUGAAGAAGGCCUUCGGGUUGUAAAGUACUUUCAGCGGGGAGGAAGGGAGUAAAGUUAACACCUUUGCUCAUUGACGUUACCCGCAGAAGAAGCACCGGCUAACUCCGUG
This 490-nucleotide ribosomal RNA is filed under the name uncultured bacterium. Its description in RNAcentral is "partial 16S ribosomal RNA". It matches the Rfam family "Bacterial small subunit ribosomal RNA", at positions 30 to 507 of the family's 1533-position model. The record is from RNAcentral.